This 67-nucleotide transfer RNA is filed under the name Erpobdella octoculata. RNAcentral's name for it is "tRNA-Ser". It matches the Rfam family "tRNA". Rfam says of the family: Transfer RNA (tRNA) molecules are approximately 80 nucleotides in length. Their secondary structure includes four short double-helical elements and three loops (D, anti-codon, and T loops). The record is from RNAcentral. Lineage: Eukaryota; Metazoa; Annelida; Clitellata; Hirudinida; Erpobdellidae.
AGUUAUUAGUUUAGGAAACAAUGGAUUUUGAAAGUCUAUAUCAAAUGUUCGAAUCAUUUAGUAACUU